CAUGCUAUCACUGAGGUCACCACUGCAGUGCAGCGCCAGUUAAGAUGAACAGUCAGUGGAGGUAUUCCUGGAGGACAGCAUCCACUUACACCCGACAACUAACAACAGAAUCAAUGGACGACUCGGAACUGUACCCAUACCAGUACCAGGCAUCGCUAGAAGAGGAGCUGACGGAAACACGUCAGAAUUCUGACAGUAAUCGGUCAACUAGCCGCUUCCUCACCUUUUAUUCUUAUUGGGCUACACUAGUGUCAUUCUACAAUGCUUCGGAAAGGGGCCGGGCUCUUGGCCUGUAGUUAUCCAAUCGGAUAGUAAAUGAGAGCGGAAGUAA
Mastomys coucha (southern multimammate mouse) is the source of this 331-nucleotide long non-coding RNA. RefSeq lists it as uncharacterized. The transcript has 2 exons. The record is from RefSeq and is a predicted model, not a curated record. NCBI's taxonomy places the organism in Eukaryota, Metazoa, Chordata, Mammalia, Rodentia, Muridae.